This 460-nucleotide ribosomal RNA is filed under the name uncultured bacterium. Its description in RNAcentral is "partial 16S ribosomal RNA". It matches the Rfam family "Bacterial small subunit ribosomal RNA", at positions 338 to 795 of the family's 1533-position model. The record is from RNAcentral.
CCUACGGGUGACAGCAGUGAGGAAUAUUGGUCAAUGGACGCAAGUCUGACCCAGCCAUGCCGCGUGCAGGAAGACGGCUCUAUGAGUUGUAAACUGCUUUUGUACGAGGGUAAACGCAGAUACGCGUAUCUGUCUGAAAGUAUCGUACGAAUAAGGAUCGGCUAACUCCGUGCCAGCAGCCGCGGUAAUACGGAGGAUUCAAGCGUUAUCCGGAUUUAUUGGGUUUAAAGGGUGCGUAGGCGGUCGGAUAAGUUAGAGUUGAAAUCCCGAGGCUCAACUUCGGAAUUGCCUCUGAUACUGUUCGGCUAGAGAGUAGUUGCGGUAGGCGGAAUGUAUGGUGUAGCGGUGAAAUGCUUAGAGAUCAUACAGAACACCGAUUGCGAAGGCAGCUUACCAAGCUACUUCUGACGUUGAGGCACGAAAGCGUGGGGAGCAAACAGGAUUAGAUACCCUUGUAGUC